Molecule: ribosomal RNA, 497 nt
Filed under: uncultured bacterium
Lineage: Bacteria
Description: partial 16S ribosomal RNA
Rfam family: Bacterial small subunit ribosomal RNA
Source: RNAcentral
GACGAACGCUGGCGGCGUGCCUAAUACAUGCAAGUUGAGCGCUGAAGGUUGGUACUUGUACCAACUGGAUGAGCAGCGAACGGGUGAGUAACGCGUGGGGAAUCUGCCUUUGAGCGGGGGACAACAUUUGGAAACGAAUGCUAAUACCGCAUAAAAACUUUAAACACAAGUUUUAAGUUUGAAAGAUGCAAUUGCAUCACUCAAAGAUGAUCCCGCGUUGUAUUAGCUAGUUGGUGAGGUAAAGGCUCACCAAGGCGAUGAUACAUAGCCGACCUGAGAGGGUGAUCGGCCACAUUGGGACUGAGACACGGCCCAAACUCCUACGGGAGGCAGCAGUAGGGAAUCUUCGGCAAUGGGCGAAAGUCUGACCGAGCAACGCCGCGUGAGUGAAGAAGGGUUUCGGAUCGUAAAACUCUGUUGGUAGAGAAGAACGUUGGUGAGAGUGGAAAGCUCAUCAAGUGACGGUAACUACCCAGAAAGGGACGGCUAACUACGUG